AAGUCGUAACAAGGUUUCCGUAGGUGAACCUGCGGAAGGAUCAUUAAUGAGUUGUGAUGGGGUUUGAUGCUGGCAGCCAAAUUUUGGAUGCAUGUGCUUGCCCUGACAAUCAUCUUCCAAACACCUGUGCACAUUUUUGAGGGAGUUUCGAGUUAAUUGCCACUUUUGGUGAUUUUCUCGCGUUCCCUUAAAUUUUAUUAUACGCUGUUAACAAAUGCUGAACGUGCUUUGUGCCGCAAGGCCCUUAAUAUAAUACAACUUUUAACAACGGAUCUCUUGGCUCUC
This 285-nucleotide unclassified non-coding RNA is filed under the name Clavulina sp. RNAcentral's name for it is "partial contains small subunit ribosomal RNA, internal transcribed spacer 1, and 5.8S ribosomal RNA". The stretch from base 1 to 46 matches the Rfam family "Eukaryotic small subunit ribosomal RNA", at positions 1786 to 1831 of the family's 1831-position model. The record is from RNAcentral. Lineage: Eukaryota; Fungi; Basidiomycota; Agaricomycetes; Cantharellales; Hydnaceae.